RNAcentral lists this long non-coding RNA (1903 nucleotides) under Citrus sinensis (sweet orange). Its description in RNAcentral is "long non-coding RNA (CSIN_LNC001449)". Lineage: Eukaryota; Viridiplantae; Streptophyta; Magnoliopsida; Sapindales; Rutaceae. The record is from RNAcentral.
AUCUAAUAAUUUUGAAUUUUCUGCAGUUGAAGAAUGCUCUAGAUCUCCCUAAUUGUCUUCAAAUAUUGAGUCAAUAUAUUUUCUCCAAGUGUUCGCCGUGUCUUAAUGUCAGUUGUUUAAGUAGAAGAGUUUACUUUUUUAGUGUUUCAGUACUAAGAAUCUUCAAAGCCUUAAAAGAGAUGGAGACAUAGCUAAUUAACCAUUAAUUUGAAUAACAAUAUCUGUUAUUAUUUCAAAACUAAUUUUGUCCUUUGUACUUUGUAGCACCUCAAAACACUAUCACGGUUGGUUGCUCUGCUAUUACCUUUACAGAAACCAUCAACAGAUUUUAGUGAUUUUAUCUUUUGACUGAAAGAAAUUAAAUGUGCAUCUCUCAACAAAUACAUAUCCAACUUCUUUAUGGAAUUUCAGAUUGACCCCGAGGAAGAGCGAAAAAUUUUGGCUAGAGAAAUGAAGGCAUCCAAGGAAUACUUCACAAAUACUAUGAAGCGGCACACACUUGUGUUAAAGAAAAGGGACUUGAUGAGAAGAAAAGCAGAGGAAGAAAAGCGGAAGGCUAUCGGUCGGCUUUUAGCUGCAGAGGGCCUUGAACUUGACACAGAUGAUGAAGCAAAGUAGCAAGUGUCCAGUGAUACCCUGAUUGGCACUACUUUACGCAAUACUUUUAGAAACAUACUAAUGUUUAUUCAAGGAAAAAAAAAAUUGUACAUAGGUAUUUGCUUAUAUAUUUAGAAUUAAUUAAAAAUUCUCUGUUCAUGAACACAACUCUCUCACUCUUCCCUCACUGAGAUACAUUAUAUGUAUUUAUACAUACUCUAAUGUUAAUUAAUCAUGUCAAUUGAUGUGAAAUAUCAAUAUUACCCUCUGCUUUACUAUAAAGAACAAGGAUUACGUUUGGCAUGUAAAAUUGGAUUGAACUAAAUUAAAUUGGGUUGGAUUAUACACAAUAUCGACUCAUGUUUGGAACAAUAUUAGAUUAGAUUGUGUUAAAUUAAAUUAAAUAGUAUUUAAGUUAAUAUUUGAAUUUAAAUAUAAAUUAUUUAAAGAUAUUCAAUUAGAAGUAUUACAAUUAAUUUAAAAUAAAACUAAUAAGAAAAUUAAAUAUAUGUUCGAUUUUAUUGAGUAGCCAUAAUUAUAACAAAAGGAUAUAAAUUAUUAAAGGGUCAUUCUAUGAUGCCAUAAUUAAAAUCACGACAUUAAUACCAUAAUUAAACAUGAAUUAUAUAAAUAAUAACAAUAUCUGUUAUUAUUUCAAAACUAAUUUUGUCCUUUGUACUUUGUAGCACCUCAAAACACUAUCACGGUUGGUUGCUCUGCUAUUACCUUUACAGAAACCAUCAACAGAUUUUAGUGAUUUUAUCUUUUGACUGAAAGAAAUUAAAUGUGCAUCUCUCAACAAAUACAUAUCCAACUUCUUUAUGGAAUUUCAGAUUGACCCCGAGGAAGAGCGAAAAAUUUUGGCUAGAGAAAUGAAGGCAUCCAAGGAAUACUUCACAAAUACUAUGAAGCGGCACACACUUGUGUUAAAGAAAAGGGACUUGAUGAGAAGAAAAGCAGAGGAAGAAAAGCGGAAGGCUAUCGGUCGGCUUUUAGCUGCAGAGGGCCUUGAACUUGACACAGAUGAUGAAGCAAAGUAGCAAGUGUCCAGUGAUACCCUGAUUGGCACUACUUUACGCAAUACUUUUAGAAACAUACUAAUGUUUAUUCAAGGAAAAAAAAAAUUGUACAUAGGUAUUUGCUUAUAUAUUUAGAAUUAAUUAAAAAUUCUCUGUUCAUGAACACAACUCUCUCACUCUUCCCUCACUGAGAUACAUUAUAUGUAUUUAUACAUACUCUAAUGUUAAUUAAUCAUGUCAAUUGAUGUGAAAUAUCAAUAUUACCCUCUGCUUUACUAUAAAGAACA